Myotis brandtii (Brandt's bat) is the source of this 3768-nucleotide long non-coding RNA. RefSeq lists it as uncharacterized. The transcript has 2 exons. The record is from RefSeq and is a predicted model, not a curated record. Lineage: Eukaryota; Metazoa; Chordata; Mammalia; Chiroptera; Vespertilionidae.
CCCCCUCCCCCUCCUCCUCCUCCUCCUUCUCUUCCUUUUUGUAAUACUGUAUAUGCUAUAGUUGGGAGUUUCAUUAUAUGUGCAUUUCUGGCCCAUCAGAACUUCAUUUAAUCUGCUAAGGGGAAGUAGUGUCCAAGGAAAUGAGAAAGUAGUUAUAGCUGAGUCCCUGUAGAAUUAAGAUAAUUCCUUUUGACUUCUUAAGCCAUUCUAGAUGCUUGUUUUGGAAAAGUAAUAUCUGUUUAGACUCAGCACUAAUUAAAGAACAGAAUUAAAUGCUUUAAUUAAUAAAUCAAAGUCUCAAAUUCAAUAUGACUUAAAAAUAUUCACCAGAAGUAACUUGAGAAUUUUUCAUCUUUCUGGUGAAAUUUUCUGUUCUAAUAUCUGUUUCCUAGUUGAUUUUUUUAAUCAGUUGAAAAUUAUAUUAAGACCUGUGAGCUUUACUUAGCUUCAUGACCACAGGCUGCAUCCCUAACCAAGACAACCAUGUUAUAGCUGAAUGACUUUGGUUAUAUUCAGGGAGGGACUUAAUGAAAGAAAGAGACUGAAUAGUUAGUUCAGCAGCUUUAUUAAAAUAAUAACUCAGAGAAUAUACCCUACUAAGUGGUUUAGUAAAAUCUAAUAACAUGUAUAAAAAGGUUAUCUCCUCUGCUUAUUUGUAUCAGUAGAGCUAAAUUGUGGAGAUAAUGUUCAUAAUGUAGUAAAUGUCAAAAUAAUACCUACAAUGUAAUUUGUGAAUUGUCCCAGGGCUGUAAUUACUUCUUUAGUCCCCAUUGAUUUUCAUGCCAUUCUAGCCUCACUUAUUAAUAAAAUUAUAUUUUUAUUCUACUUUCUCUUUUGGACAUUUUAAAAUUAAUAUUUUAUAUCUAAAUUAAAUGAAAGAGUGCCUUUUACCAUGAUAGUGCCCCUCUUUUUGUAGUUUCCUUUUUCACUAUUGCCAAAAAUACAUACAUUAUUUUAAUAGGUCCCAGUUUGAACUUUUCCACUUAGUCAUUCUCUUUUCUUCAUUUCUUUCUUUUCUUUUUGAAGAUCUACUUGGAUUUAUUAAGCAAUUCAUGAAUUGGGCAGCAUCCUAUCUAGCAACCAGAAGGGCACUAUAAGGGGUUGUGCCAAAUAGAAGGUUUUUAUAGCUCUUUUUCUUAAUCAUCACAGGAAACAACUUCAUAAGUUUCUAACUCCUUUUUGCAUAAGAGUAACAUAAAAGAUACAUUAUCAGAAUCAUUCCUCUGAGGGAGGCUCCUUAACACGGUGGUGGUGCCUGAAGAAAGGACCAUCAGCAACAGGUCAGGAUAGAAUUAGCUUUGGGAUGAGCUGCUUUCCUCAUGUGAGUAUUUCCAUGGUUGUUAGUGACACUGAUGACUACAAACAUUUAUGCAAUAUUCCUAAUACCCUAUUGAUAUUAUGCACUUUAAUCAUUCCAAAGAAGUCAAGGAUGCUGUAUAGUAAUGAUUCCUUCUUAAUGAAUACAUCUUAACAAUUUAGAAUGUUUAUGUCCCUUUUUAUUUUGGACAGUAAGUUAAUAUAAGUGUUAUGUGAAUAUUUUCUAAAAUGACUAUAGUAGGACUUAGACUUUGAAAUGUAAUUGACUAUAAGGGGAAAUGAUUACAGUUCAGGAAAUCAUUUUAGCUUGCUAAUCUAUAUGUUUGAGAGUUAAUUAAACCCAGCCCUCUUCCUAUAUAUUUUAUGUCAUGUACAUAAGAACAUUACAGUAUAUAGUUUUCUACAUAUAUGAUAUGUAUAAUCCAGUGGUUCUCAAAAUAUGUCCUUAGCCUACCAGCUAACAUCAGUAUCGCCUGAGAACUAGUUAGAAAUGCAAAUUCUUAAGGCCUAUCCCAGGCACACUGAAUCAGAAACUCUGGAGUGGGGCUCAGCAGUCUGUGUUUUAACACCCUCCAGGUGAUUCUGGUGCAUGGGUCAAGUUUGAAAAUUACUGGUAUAAACUAUUUACAAUAAGAUCUAAAAAGCUGUUUUUUUCCCUACUCAUAUAGAUAGUUAUACUUUGUUCUCUAAGUAAAUUCAGCCUGAUCUGGUUAUUCAUAAUCCUUUAUUGGCAAUGAUAACUUAUUCUCCAUACUGCUUAUAGUAUAUUUUAUGUAUAUAUACAAUUAGUCUAGUUAUUGAUAAUUCAGUUAACUUAGUUGGGCAUAUUCCUACCACUUACUAAAAAGUUUACAUUAAGGGACUGAUUUAAAGAUAUAGGUGCAAUGUUUUAUAUUUCUUUUAAUUGUUAUGACAUUUAAGUAGCUAAUAUAAUUGACAGGUGCUAAAUUAUUCUGUUUAUGCAUAAAAUGGGUACAUUGUGGACAGUGAUAAUACAAGCUUUUUUUUCAUUGCCUCUUAUUUUACCAGCAGACAACAAUUUUGGUGUGGCUAGGCCAACUCUCAGAACAAAUUUGUCAUUCCUAUAUUUAUAUUUGUAUCUGAGAUAUUAAACAAGAUGGCUGGCCAGAUCAACAAAGCACCUUAUUUAAUUUCUUUUUUUGAAUACAUGAAACUUCUUUAAAAGUAGCUUGCUUAGUAUGAGAACUGCUGCAGUAGAGUUACAGCUAUCCUUGGAAUUUAUACUUCAGACAACGAUUUACUAAAAUCUUAAACAAGACAGUAAUGCAUUAUAUAAUUUGGGCAUUUCUCCCUUGUCAAUGUAUGCACCAUGGUAAAUAUAAACUAACCACCAUAAGUCAAGUGAUUUAUUCAUUCAUUUUCAUCUUCCUGUGUAAUUUAAUACCUCUGUAAUUGUUCUACUCUUCCUCCCGCUGUUUACAAAUCAAUUAACUCAUGAAAGAAAAAUGCACAUUUCAAAAUAAAACUAAUUAUAUACUCUAUAAAAAUCACCACUGCUUAAUACUAGCAGUGGAAAUGUAAGUGGCUUACUCUACAAACUAUGGUGCUGGAAAAUACAUAGGCAAACUGUUGGGAGAUGCUCUCUAGCUACAUUCCUCCUUUCUUGUUCCCUUUCCUCUCUCUCCCCCACUUGAUUGCAUAAUAGUAUUCUGUACCCAAAACACUCUACCAUAAUUCUGUUUGACUUUAACUUGUAAUAUCUCUUCUAAAAGCCCAUAUUUAAGCCUCAUAUCACCCCUGCUCUUUUUUUCCUCAGAAGUAAUUUGCCUGAUUUGAAUAGCUCAUGGGGAUCACUUGUUAUUUUAGCUAAUGAACCUCAGGACAGCACACACACACAUACACACACACACCCCAUCUCAGAUGUUUGAGAAUGGGAUUGGAAUCAGACUAAUGUGUCCAGUAAAGAGCUGUCCACUGAAGUGAUUAUGACUUUAGGGACUACAAACUGAUUCCAAUGACAUUCAGCUAAUUCUUUUCAUCUAAUGAAUGUAUCUUCUCACCUUGUUCUCUUAUUUCUAAUUGAUAAGCUCCAAGUAGUUGCUAAUUUUUUGACAACUUUUACUUCGUCUUUUAAAUAAAUAUAUUACAAGUAUUUCAUUAACCUAUUCUCAAGUGGUUUAGCUACCAUUCUGCCAUUUAAAUUUUAUUUGCUUGAGCACACUGAUCAACCACUGAACUGCCUUCUUCCAUUGUCCUACAAUGACUAUUUUUGUGUAUGUGGCUUUCAUAGUUGGGGUUGCAGAGCACUGACACCAGAUAUUUUCAGUUUGUUCUCUGGGGGAAUUUUAUUUGCAUCUAUGUUUUUAGCUAUCUGUGAUAACUUGUUAAAUAUUAAAAAGAUAUUUUGCUUCUAUUGAACAUUUGUAUACUCGCAACUAUAUUUCUGUAAACAGCUGCAGUCAAAAUAAAAAAAUUGAAAGUUUUCAUUUU